AGCAGCCGCGGUAAUUCCAGCUCCAAUAGCGUAUAUUAAAGUUGUUGCAGUUAAAAAGCUCGUAGUUGAAUUUCGGGAUCAGUACGCUGGUCGUGCCUUCGGUAUGAACUGGUGUCACUGGUUCCUCCCUUCUGAAGAACCGUCAUGCCAUUCAGUUGGUGUGGCGGGGAAUCAGGACUGUUACUUUGAAAAAUUAGAGUGUUUAAAGCAGGCUCGCGCUUGAAUACAUUAGCAUGGAAUAAUGAAAUAGGACGUUUGACCCUAUUUUGUUGGUUUCUAGGAUCGACGUAAUGAUUAAUAGGGAUAGUUGGGGGCAUUAGUAUUCAAUUGUCAGAGGUGAAAUUCUUGGAUUUAUUGAAGACUAACUACUGCGAAAGCAUUUGCCAAGGAUGUUUUCAUUAAUCAAGAACGAAAGUUAGGGGAUCGAAGACGAUCAGAUACCGUCGUAGUCUUAACCAUAAACUAUGCCGACUAGGGAUCGGAUGAUGUUAAUUUUUAAUGACUCAUUCGGCGCCUUAAC
Molecule: ribosomal RNA, 520 nt
Filed under: uncultured Glomus
Lineage: Eukaryota; Fungi; Glomeromycota; Glomeromycetes; Glomerales; Glomeraceae
Description: SSU rRNA
Rfam family: Eukaryotic small subunit ribosomal RNA
Source: RNAcentral